Salvia splendens (bonfire salvia) is the source of this 1393-nucleotide long non-coding RNA. RefSeq lists it as uncharacterized. The record is from RefSeq and is a predicted model, not a curated record. The transcript is spliced from 2 exons. NCBI's taxonomy places the organism in Eukaryota, Viridiplantae, Streptophyta, Magnoliopsida, Lamiales, Lamiaceae.
UGUUGUUAUGGCGUCUUGGCACUUGGAUACAUUGCUAGAGCAAAACCCGGGAAUCAUAAGGGAAGGAGUGUCUGAAUAUGGAUCAAUCAGUCUUUGUUGAAAUUUACUACAUCACACUUUUUAAUGGGGUUGACUGUUGAGUAUGGCAAGCGUCUCAUGGGUAUGUUCUCUUCAUCUUGGGGAUGUGUCAAUCCUGGUUGUUGAUUUGCUUUUGACUGCUUUAUUGGUUUCUAUUGUCGCUUGGAUGUUUUAUUUCUAUCCUCUUAUACUUCAUACUUUUGGUUUAUCAGAACGUUGUGGGUCAAGGUAGAUGUUAGAACCUUGUGGGUUGUUUUUGCUUUGGCUCUUGUACGUGUUUUUGUUUUGUAAAAAAGACUUGUUUGUUGCUCUGUUGAAUCUUUGCUCAUUAUUCUUGAUAGUUUAAGCGUUUUGUUUCUAUAUAAAAGAACAGAAAAAUAGCUAAAAUAAAGCCUUUACUCUCCUUAAAUAUAUAGAAAAUGCCAAUUCUUGGAAUAGUGUGAAUUAUUGAUGAAGUUAAAAAAAAGAACACACUAUUGGAUUAUAUAGUAAGAUCGAAAUGCUUCCAAUCCUCGGUAACUGUCCAAAUUGAAACCCUCAACAAUUAGUUGAAUAUCUAACAAAAACCACAACAAAUUUUUUUUUUUUCCUGAGGUGUCAAAAUUUCAUAUCAACAAUCACUAACUUUCAUGUGAUGGUCGAAUCAUAACUACCACCUUCAAGAUUUCAACAACUUUUGUUUCAUCUCAUCUGGAUUUACUUCCUAACAGAACACUAUUCUACUGUCAAACUCACUCUUUCACAUCUAAAUAAAUCAAAAAAAUGUUACUACUAUAGCUAGUAUCUAGCUAGUCUUGAUUGAAUGGUGUCACAUUAAUUCAAUUAUAGCCAGUGAUCAUUGGUUCAAUAUAUUGAUUUUAUUGAACAUCAGUCUUAACCCAAUAGUCCAAAUGGGAGAAACACAAGCAAGCAAACAAACAAAUGGAGCAAUAAAAUGGGAGUUUUAUUUUUUUCUUGUUGGGUUUUGGGAUAACAAGAGAAGAAUUAAGUCGUUAGUUUCAAAGACAAAGGUGCUUUUCAUCGAUGAAUUUGAUGAAAAUGAGGUCUUAUAUAAAUGAAAUUUAACAUGAUAAGCAUGAGAGGAUUCCAAGAAAUCAAAAUGUGUAUUAGAGUGGAUUGCAAGAAAUGUGGGAAAUAUUCAUGGGCAGGUUGUGGAAAGCAUUUGACCUCACUUUAUGCAAAUAUUGAAAAAGGGAAGCAUUGUAUGUGCAAAUCUUGGCCUGGUGUGGCUAUCCCACCACCAGAUGAUCAAGAUCCACCAUCAUCAUCUUCAACCACAAAAGUGUAUAAAUUAAUGUAACGAGCCUCUUCAUCA